AUUGAACGCUGGCGGCAGGCCUAACACAUGCAAGUCGAACGGUUGCACAGAGAGCUUGCUCUCGGGUGACGAGUGGCGGACGGGUGAGUAACGUCUGGGAAACUGCCCGAUGGAGGGGGAUAACUACUGGAAACGGUAGCUAAUACCGCAUAACGUCGCAAGACCAAAGUGGGGGACCUUCGGGCCUCACACCAUCGGAUGUGCCCAGAUGGGAUUAGCUAGGAGGUGGGGAAAGGGCUCACCUAGGUGACGAUCCCUAGCUGGUCUGAGAGGAUGACCAGCCACACUGGAACUGAGAAACGGUCCAUACUCCUACGGGAGGCAGCAGUGGGGAAUAUUGCACAAUGGGCGAAAGCCUGAUGCAGCCAUGCCGCGUGUAUGAAGAAGGCCUUCGGGUUGUAAAGUACUUUCAGCGGUGAGGAAGGCGGUGAAGUUGAUAGCUUCACCGAUUGACGUUACCCGCAGAAGAAGCACCGGCUAACUCCGUGCCAGCCGCCGCAGUAA
Molecule: ribosomal RNA, 504 nt
Filed under: uncultured bacterium
Lineage: Bacteria
Description: partial 16S ribosomal RNA
Rfam family: Bacterial small subunit ribosomal RNA
Source: RNAcentral